AUUGAACGCUGGCGGCAGGCCUAACACAUGCAAGUCGAGCGAGCGGCGGACGGGUGAGUAAUGUCCGGGAAACUGCCUGAUGGAGGGGGAUAACUACUGGAAACGGUAGCUAAUACCGCAUACCAUCAGAUGUGCCCAGAUGGGAUUAGCUAGUAGGUGGGGUAACGGCUCACCUAGGCGACGAUCCCUAGCUGGUCUGAGAGGAUGCCCAGCCACACUAGAACGGAGCAAGGUUCCAGCCUCCUACGGGAGGCAGCAGUGGGGAAUAUAGCACAAUGGGAGCAAGCCUGAAGCAGCCAUGCCACGUGUGUGAAGAAGGCCUUCGGGUUGUAAAGCACUUUCAGCGGGGGGGCGUUACCCGCAGAAGAAGCACCGGCUAACUCCGUGCCAGCCGCCGCGGUAAUAC
This 406-nucleotide ribosomal RNA is filed under the name uncultured bacterium. RNAcentral's name for it is "partial 16S ribosomal RNA". It matches the Rfam family "Bacterial small subunit ribosomal RNA", at positions 29 to 526 of the family's 1533-position model. The record is from RNAcentral.